RNAcentral lists this ribosomal RNA (1392 nucleotides) under uncultured bacterium. Its description in RNAcentral is "bacterial SSU rRNA". It matches the Rfam family "Bacterial small subunit ribosomal RNA". The record is from RNAcentral.
UUGAUCCUGGGUCACGAUGACCGCUGGCGGCGUGCUUACACACAUGCAAGUCGAGCGAACCACUGGCACAAGAUUUCUCUCAGAAUGAUAUUUUAGUGACUGAGCGGCGGACGGGUGAGUAACGCGUGGGGAACCUGCCUCAUACCGGGGGAUAACAGUUGGAAACGGCUGCUAAUACCGCAUAAGCGCACAGAUACCGCAUGGUACGGUGUGAAAAACUCCCGUGGUAUGAAAUGGACCCGCGUUGGAUUAACCACUUGGCGGGGUAACGGCCCACCAAAGCAACGAUCCAUAGCCCGGCCUGACAGGGCGACAGGCCACGUUGGGACUGAGACACGGGCCAGACUCCUGCGGGAGGCAGCAGUGGGGAAUAUUGCACAAUGGAGGGAACUCUGAUGCAGCGACGCCGCGUGAGUGAAGAAGUAUUUCGGUAUGUAAAGCUGUAUCAGCAGGGAAGAAGAUGACGGUACCUGACUAAGAAGCCCCGGCUAACUACGUGCCAGCAGCCGCGGUAAUACGUAGGGGGCAAUCGUUAUCCGGAUUUAUUGGGUGUAAAGGGAGCGUAGACGGCGGUGCAAGUCUGAAGUGAAAGGCGGGGGCUCAACUCCCGGAUUGCUUUGGAAACUGCAUGGCUAGAGUACCGGAGGGGUAAGCGGAAUUCCUGGUGUAGCGGUGAAAUGCGUAGAUAUCAGGAGGAACACCGGUGGCGAAGGCGGCUUACUGGACGGCAACUGACGUUGAGGCUCGAAAGCGUGGGGAGCAAACAGGAUUAGAUUACCCUGGUAGUCCACGCCGUAAACGAUGAGUACUAGGUGUCGGCAGGGAAGCCCUGUCGGUGCCGCCGCAAACGCAUUAAGUAUUCCACCUGGGGAGUACGUUCGCAAGAAUGAAACUCAAAGGAAUUGACGGGGACCCGCACAAGCGGUGGAGCAUGUGGUUUAAUUCGAAGCAACGCGAAGAACCUUACCAAAUCUUGACAUCCUUCUGACCGGUCCGUAACGGGAUCUUUCCUUCGGGACAGAAGAGACAGGUGGUGCAUGGUUGUCGUCAGCUCGUGUCGUGAGAUGUUGGGUUAAGUCCCGCAACGAGCGCAACCCUUAUCCCCAGUAGCCAGCAGGUAAAGCUGGGCACUCUGAGGAGACUGCCAGGGAGAGCCUGGAGGAAGGCGGGGAUGACGUCAAAUCAUCAUGCCCCUUAUGAUUUGGGCUACACACGUGCUACAAUGGCGUGAACAGAGGGAAGCAGAGCCGCGAGGCCGAGCGAAUCUCAAAAAACGCGUCCCAGUUCGGACUGUAGUCUGCAACCCGACUACACGAAGCUGGAAUCGCUAGUAAUCGCAGAUCAGAAUGCUGCGGUGAAUACGUUCCCGGGUCUUGCACUCACCGCCCGUCA